AUUGAACGCUGGCGGCAUGCCUUACACAUGCAAGUCGAACGGCAGCACGGACUUCGGUCCGGUGGCGAGUGGCGAACGGGUGAGUAAUACAUCGGAACGUGCCCAGUAAUGGGGGAUAACGCAGCGAAAGCUGUGCUAAUACCGCAUACGACCUGAGGGCGAAAGUGGGGGAACGAAAUACCUCAUGUUAUUGGAGCGGCCGAUGGCUGAUUAGCUAGUUGGUGAGGUAAAGGCACACCAAGGCGACGAUCAGUAGCUGGUCUGAGAGGACGACCAGCCACACUGGGACUGAGACACGGCCCAGACUCCUACGGGAGGCAGCAGUGGGGAAUUUUGGACAAUGGGCGAAAGCCUGAUCCAGCAAUGCCGCGUGUGCGAAGAAGGCCUUCGGGUUGUAAAGCACUUUUGUCAGGGAAGAAAACUGUUUGGCUAAUACCCGAAUAGAAUGACGGUACCUGAAGAAUAAGCACCGGCUAACUACGUGCCAGCCGCCGCAGUAA
Molecule: ribosomal RNA, 500 nt
Filed under: uncultured bacterium
Lineage: Bacteria
Description: partial 16S ribosomal RNA
Rfam family: Bacterial small subunit ribosomal RNA
Source: RNAcentral